RNAcentral lists this ribosomal RNA (406 nucleotides) under uncultured bacterium. RNAcentral describes it as "partial 16S ribosomal RNA". It matches the Rfam family "Bacterial small subunit ribosomal RNA", at positions 28 to 526 of the family's 1533-position model. The record is from RNAcentral.
GAUGAACGCUAGCUACAGGCUUAACACAUGCAAGUCGAGGGACCGGCGCACGGGAGAGUAACACGUAUCCAACCUGCCCUUUACUCGGGGAUAGCCUUUCGAAAGAAAGAUUAAUACCCGAUAUAAAGGAUGGGGAUGCGUUCCAUUAGGUUGUUGGUGAGGUAACGGCCCACCAAGCCUUCGAUGGAUAGGGGUUCUGGGAGGACGGUCCCCCACUUUGGAACUGAGACACGGUCCAAACUCCUACGGGCGGCAGCAGUGCGGAAUAUUGGUCAAUGGGCGUUAGCCUGACCCAGCCAAGUAGCGUGAAGGAUGAAGGCUUAUGGGUCGUUAACUUCUUUUAUAUAAGAAUAUGUAUUAUAUGAAUAAGGGUCGGCUAACUCCGUGCCAGCAGCCGCGGUAAUUC